AUUGAACGCUGGCGGCAGGCCUAACACAUGCAAGUCGAGCGGAUGAAGGGAGCUUGCUCCUGGAUUCAGCGGCGGACGGGUGAGUAAUGCCUAGGAAUCUGCCUGGUAGUGGGGGAUAACGUCCGGAAACGGGCGCUAAUACCGCAUACGUCCUGAGGGGGAAAGUGGGGGAUCUUCGGACCUCACGCUAUCAGAUGAGCCUAGGUCGGAUUAGCUAGUUGGUGGGGUAAAGGCCUACCAAGGCGACGAUCCGUAACUGGUCUGAGAGGAUGAUCAGUCACACUGGAACUGAGACACGGUCCAGACUCCUACGGGAGGCAACAGUGGGGAAUAUUGGACAAUGGGCGAAAGCCUGAUCCAGCCAUGCCGCGUGUGUGAAGAAGGUCUUCGGAUUGUAAAGCACUUUAAGUUGGGAGGAAGGGCAGUAAGUUAAUACCUUGCUGUUUUGACGUUACCAACAGAAUAAGCACCGGCUAACUUCGUG
RNAcentral lists this ribosomal RNA (484 nucleotides) under uncultured bacterium. RNAcentral's name for it is "partial 16S ribosomal RNA". It matches the Rfam family "Bacterial small subunit ribosomal RNA", at positions 30 to 507 of the family's 1533-position model. The record is from RNAcentral.